CGAGGGCUGCGUUCCCCUCCUUAUCCCAACGCCCGUCGCGUUUUGCAGUGCGGCAGCACCCUCUUCUGUCAAUCCCUAUGUGGUCGAAGCCGCCGGUGCUUGCAAUGUCAGGCAGCAGCACCAAGAGCUAUGCCACAGAAUCCUCAGCACUUUGCAAACGAGGAAAUGAAAACAAAGGAAGGGAGAAAUUAAAAAGCCCGGCAGAAAGGAUAAAACUGGGGACAUCUGAUCUGGAAUGCUACCAUUACGGUGCUCUCGUGACAUUCGUACUGCAGUACUGACUUGGGAGGCUGCCCUACUUCAGUGGCAUCGGUAGUGAUCUGUGUCCUCAGCUGCACCUUUCCAACGUGAUCACCCCUUUCUGGUUCCAAGCAUCAAUCAAUCUCUCAUCCUGCUGAAUCCACCUCAGCUUGGCAACUUCCUGUCACAGCCUGGUCAGCUGCUCUAAAAGAUGACCAAGUUGGGCACACACCUGCACCCACAACACCCCUCACCUACCUCAGGCCCUUGGGUGACCUCCAGAUUCCAGAGGCUGAAUGGCAAGAAUGUGCUUGAAGGUGCAGCACAGGAACUGCAAGUCAGCUGGAUGCAGAAGGACCAUUAGCUCCCAAGAUUGCUUUAAGGUCAGUUUCAGGGCUUCAGUUCUCCCUGGUCAUGCUGUCACUCAUGGUAAAGAUCAGAUUUAUGACCUUUGUCCAUUGCUUUAAGGCCACAGAAGUGCACAGGCAUGACUCUGCUCCGAUUAUGGGUUUUUUUUUUUCUUGGCUCCAAAAUACUGUGUUUUUCACUGUUUUUCUCCCACCUCUCCUGUGCUGACUGGCAGGUGGCUGCCACGCUUACCAUGUUCUGCUAUUGUUACAGACCCUAUGUGAUCACACUCAAAGUAUUUCAUAGUUUUCAUUGCCUCCCCCGCGACAGAACAGGAGGUCAUUAUUUGGAGGACUGAGGACAGUCAGGAUCCUGCCCGCUCCCUGACCUUUCAGAUAACUGGUUAUUCAUGCAAAUAUUGCAGAAAUGCUGUUCUGGAGAGGACAAAACAUUCUUACUGGAAUAUCG
This 1056-nucleotide long non-coding RNA is filed under the name Gallus gallus (chicken). RNAcentral describes it as "lncRNA (ENSGALG00010027810.1)". Lineage: Eukaryota; Metazoa; Chordata; Aves; Galliformes; Phasianidae. The record is from RNAcentral.